This is a long non-coding RNA of Lolium rigidum, 440 nucleotides long. RefSeq lists it as uncharacterized. Lineage: Eukaryota; Viridiplantae; Streptophyta; Magnoliopsida; Poales; Poaceae. The record is from RefSeq and is a predicted model, not a curated record. The transcript is spliced from 4 exons.
CUGCUUCUGGACAGCAAGCGAUUGGAUUAGGAACCUGAAGAUGGCGCUCUCAUGCUUGGGACCCUUUGGCCAGAUCUUCCGCCUAGGGCCAAGGGAUACUACACCGGCCUUGACGUCUUCCGCAAGGAGGCCCAGAAUUGUGUCUGCCUCCAGGGUGAUGGUCCUGGUUCGUGAAGGACUCAAUCAUAGCAUGCCAAGUUGAGGAUGUGAACGCUUUGGAGGCAGCCGCUGUGACAAAGGAUAAAAAGAUGCCUGAAGAAUGAAGAUAGUGCAGCACCGUUUCAGUUGAUAUGGUCUGCAUGUUUUGCUGCCUGUGUAUAACUGUUAUUGAUUUUUGUUCUAAACGUGUUGCUGUAAACUCUUUUGAAUUUGUGUUGUGAGUCUGUAACUACCUCUGUUCUGAUUUUUUUUGGAAUGAAUCAUUUCUGGAAUCAAUUUGA